This 2249-nucleotide long non-coding RNA is filed under the name Zostera marina. RNAcentral's name for it is "long non-coding RNA (ZMAR_LNC003559)". The record is from RNAcentral. Lineage: Eukaryota; Viridiplantae; Streptophyta; Magnoliopsida; Alismatales; Zosteraceae.
AGAAAUUAUAUUACACCAAUGAAAAACCUAAUGGAAUUGUAUUACACCAACAUACGCGACGCAGAAAACUAAAAAAAAUUUAACACCAAGUCUUUUACAUUAAGAAGAGUAGGAGAUGAGGAUUCACAGAUUGAAGAUUCACAAACGAAAAAAAACGUCGUGCAAAAAUAUAUUCGAGCUACAUAUCGACGUGGAUGAAGAUGUGUUUCCGACGAGAACAAAAGGAAAAUAGGUUUUCCCUAGCAAAUUGAAAAAAAUGAAGAAGAUGAGUACGAAAAAAAAUGAAGAAAAAGAUGAGCGGAGGUGAGAUUACAAAUUACAGAUAAGAUACAAAGUAGGUGUAGCAAAGUCAUAUGUAGGUGUAGAGGAAUAUUUAUUUCAUGGAAAUAUGUGUAAAUAAAACAAUAAAAAACGUUUAAAGGAAUGACGGUUGUGAUAAAGAGGUACUACAUCCAACGGCUCAACAAAUGUGAACGUUUUUUAGCUUACCAUAGGUUGAGCUUACCUGAAAAAAAGUUGUAUAAUUAUAAUUGUAAAAUAAUAAUAAUUUAUUAUAUAUUAAUAUUAUUAUAUUAUAUUAUUUAUUAUAUUAUAUUAUUUAUUAAAAUUAUUAUUAUUAUUAUAUUAUAGAAAAUGUUAAAAGAGGGUCUUUUUUAGAUUUGGAGAGGUCGAGCUUUAUUGUUUUCAUUUUUGAUGGUGUUUAUCGGAUAUUAUAAAAGCUAUAACACCCAAUGACACAUCAAAACUUAGCCCGUUAGGUGGCAAGACACCAACGACACAUGAUCAGUGGUGCAGCACGCAUGCAGCGAAGCUACUUCACUAUAGAUUGGAAACACCAAGUUACGACCAGACAGGAUAGACAACCGGAAGAAGAACCUUUAUGUAUUAUGUAAUUUCACCAAUCCAUUUAAACGUGUAUUUACCAUUGAUUUCAUGAUUAACUCUUGUAAUCCGACCAAAACUGAUAGUACUCCAUCGGAGAGCACCAUUUUUUUUUUGAACUACUGAAAUAUAUACAUUUUGACCAGAAUAAAGAUCAAAAUAUUGAAAAAAGUGAGAAAGGGAUACACUAGUCUGAAAAUUAGAAAUUCAAUUUAAUAUAUUUGGGUUAUUCCAGCAGUUCACCGAUUGUGAAGGACUGGAAACACAAAUGGGGGAAUAACAAUUGAAAACUUCUUAACAUAGCUUUAAUUUCAGUAUAUAAUACUAAGGAUUAGCUAUGAAAGUAAUUAAUAGAUGUAGAUUGGUCAUAUGUAAAAAACAAUAUAGGAUUAGCCUUUAAUAUUCUCUUGUUCUGUUUGGCUAAGAAUUCAUGACAAAUUUAAGGAAUCAAAUGAGGUUCAUCAUACAGAUUAUGCAAAAGAUAGGGAUUACUUAAACGUAUGCGAAUGAAACAUUAUAAAAUUCUGCUUGAAAACACGAAUAAUUGUAAAAUGUGUUUAGCUCUUGAGGAUACCCAGAGUAUGUCUUCAGCUCAUGAUCAAUCAUAUAUAAGUUCAUGAUCAAUCAUAUAUAAGCUCAUGAUCACAUACGACGUUCAUGGUACAAAUCCAUGCAUUCAAAUACUAAUUGAUAGGGGUAUAUCAUGAAUCGGAUGCUAUCAAUAUGGAAGAAAUCACUUUCACUAUUAAAACUUUUCAUUUUUACCCCAAUCUUUAUUUUUAUAGAAUGACAUUCCAAAAUGCAAAGGAAAAACGACCAGUAAAGAAAUCAUGGUAAAACUUUUCAAUUAUUAUCAGAAAAUAGAAUAAGGAUCCAAAUUCCUAUCAAAUGUGCCAAUAAAAAUUACCAAUGGGGACAUCAAUCUUUUACAAUUCUUCUUGAUUUCAUGCUGUGAACCAAAUGUUGUUUUUUAGAUAAUUUUUUUCUUUCAUAUUGAUAGCAUCCGAUUUGAAAUAAAAAACAACUUCAAUGCAACAAAACAUUGUACAAUACAUACCUAGAAUAGAAGAGAAAAGCAUUGGAAGAUGAAGCCACCGGAAGUUUAAAAAAACCCAAACAAAAAAGAGAAAACAGAAAUGAAUUACCUGUUAAGAUGAAGCCACCGGAAGUCGACGAAAAGAUGAAGCCACCGGAGGUCGCGGUCGCCGAUGCUGGAAGGGAUUAGGAAGGAGAAAUCGGAAAAACGGGAUUGGGUUGGGAGAAAUCAAAAAUCGGGAGGGAAGGAGUUUAGGGAUUUAAUUUUUUUUGGGUUUAAAUGUUUAAUUUAGGGGUUUGGGAUAUUUUAUUUGGGUUUUAAAAACUUUUUU